GAUAGGUGGGAGGCUUUGAAGUGUGGACGCCAGUCUGCAUGGAGCCGACCUUGAAAUACCACCCUUUAAUGUUUGAUGUUCUAACGUUGACCCGUGAUCCGGGUUGCGGACAGUGUCUGGUGGGUAGUUUGACUGGGGCGGUCUCCUCCUAAAGAGUAACGGAGGAGCACGAAGGUUGGCUAAUCCUGGUCGGACAUCAGGAGGUUAGUGCAAUGGCAUAAGCCAGCUUGACUGCGAGCGUGACGGCGCGAGCAGGUGCGAAAGCAGGUCAUAGUGAUCCGGUGGUUCUGAAUGGAAGGGCCAUCGCUCAACGGAUAAAAGGUACUCCGGGGAUAACAGGCUGAUACCGCCCAAGAGUUCAUAUCGACGGCGGUGUUUGGCACCUCGAUGUCGGCUCAUCACAUCCUGGGGCUGAAGUAGGUCCCAAGGGUAUGGCUGUUCGCCAUUUAAAGUGGUACGCGAGCUGGGUUUAGAACGUCGUGAGACAGUUCGGUCCCUAUCUGCCGUGGGCGCUGGAGAACUGAGGGGGGCUGCUCCUAGUACGAGAGGACCGGAGUGGACGCAUCACUGGUGUUCGGGUUGUCAUGCCAAUGGCACUGCCCGGUAGCUAAAUGCGGAAGAGAUAAGUGCUGAAAGCAUCUAAGCACGAAACUUGCC
RNAcentral lists this ribosomal RNA (657 nucleotides) under Escherichia coli. RNAcentral's name for it is "partial 23S ribosomal RNA". It matches the Rfam family "Bacterial large subunit ribosomal RNA", at positions 2142 to 2798 of the family's 2925-position model. The record is from RNAcentral. Lineage: Bacteria; Pseudomonadati; Pseudomonadota; Gammaproteobacteria; Enterobacterales; Enterobacteriaceae.